RNAcentral lists this ribosomal RNA (211 nucleotides) under uncultured bacterium. RNAcentral's name for it is "partial 16S ribosomal RNA". It matches the Rfam family "Bacterial small subunit ribosomal RNA", at positions 320 to 524 of the family's 1533-position model. The record is from RNAcentral.
CGACGGACGCGGAGGGACUACGGGAAGGCAGCAGUGGGGAAUAUUGCACAAUGGGCGCAAGCCUGAUGCAGCCAUGCCGCGUGUGUGAAGAAGGCCUUCGGGUUGUAAAGCACUUUCAGCGGGGAGGAAGGCGAUAAGGUUAAUAACCUUGUCGAUUGACGUUACCCGCAGAAGAAGCACCGGCUAACUCCGUGCCAGCAGCCGCGGUAAA